AGAGUUUGAUCAUGGCUCAGGACGAACGCUGGCGGCGUGCCUAACACAUGCAAGUCGAACGAAGCUUUUGAUUUCGGUUGAGAGCUUAGUGGCGGACGGGUGAGUAACGCGUGAGUAACCUGCCUUACAGAGGGGGAUAACGUCUGGAAACGGACGCUAAUACCGCAUGACAUUUCUUUAUCACAUGGUAAAGAAAUCAAAGGAGCAAUCCGCUGUAAGAUGGACUCGCGUCCGAUUAGCUAGAUGGUGAGAUAACAGCCCACCAUGGCGACGAUCGGUAGCCGGACUGAGAGGUUGAACGGCCACAUUGGGACUGAGACACGGCCCAGACUCCUACGGGAGGCAGCAGUGGGGGAUAUUGCACAAUGGAGGAAACUCUGAUGCAGCAACGCCGCGUGAAGGAUGAAGGUCUUCGGAUUGUAAACUUUUGUACUUGGGGACGAUAAUGACGGUACCCAAGCAGCAAGCUCCGGCUAACUACGUGCCAGCCGCCGCGGUAAUC
This 502-nucleotide ribosomal RNA is filed under the name uncultured bacterium. RNAcentral describes it as "bacterial SSU rRNA". It matches the Rfam family "Bacterial small subunit ribosomal RNA", at positions 8 to 525 of the family's 1533-position model. The record is from RNAcentral.